AUUAGCUAGUUGGUGAGGUAAAAGCUCACCAAGGCAGCGAUCAGUAGCUGGUCUGAGAGGACGAUCAGCCACACUGGGACUGAGACACGGCCCAGACUCCUACGGGAGGCAGUAGUGGGGAAUUUUCCGCAAUGGGCGAAAGCCUGACGGAGCAAGACCGCGUGAGGGAGGAAGGCUCUUGGGUUGUAAACCUCUUUUCUCAGGGAAGAAGCUCUGACGGUACCUGAGGAAUCAGCCUCGGCUAACUCCGUGCCAGCAGCCGCGGUAAUACGGAGGAGGCAAGCGUUAUCCGGAAUUAUUGGGCGUAAAGCGUCCGCAGGUGGCGAUUCAAGUCUGCUGUCAAAGCACGGGGCUUAACUCCGUUAAGGCAGCGGAAACUGAAUAGCUAGAGUGCCGUAGGGGUAGAGGGAAUUCCCGGUGUAGCGGUGAAAUGCGUAGAGAUCGGGAAGAACAUCGGUGGCGAAAGCGCUCUACUGGACGGCAACUGACACUCAGGGACGAAAGCUAGGGGAGCGAAUGGGAUUAGAUACCCCAGUAGUCCUAGCUGUAAACGAUGGAUACUAGGUGUAGCUUGUAUCGACCCGAGCUGUGCCGAAGCUAACGCGUUAAGUAUCCCGCCUGGGGAGUACGCACGCAAGUGUGAAACUCAAAGGAAUUGACGGGGGCCCGCACAAGCGGAGGAGCAUGUGGUUUAAUUCGAUGAUACGCGAGGAACCUUACCUGGGCUUGAACGUAUGGUGCAUGAGUGUGAAAGCACUCUUUCCUUCACAGGACUUCAUACGAGGUGCUGCAUGGUUGUCGUCAGCUCGUGCCGUGAGGUGUUAGGUUAAGUCCUGCAACGAGCGCAACCCCUGUUUUUAGUUGCCAGCAGGUUAUGCUGGGCACUCUAGAAAGACUGCCUGCGCAAGCAGAGAGGAAGGUGGGGAUGACGUCAAAUCAGCACGGCCCUUACGUCCAGGGCUACACACGUGCUACAAUGGUCGGCACAGAGGGUGGCUACCCGGCAACGGGAUGCUAAUCUCCAAAGUCGAUCUUAGUUCGGAUCGAAGUCUGCAACUCGACUUCGUGAAGUUGGAUUCGCUAGUAAUCGUAUAUCAGCCAUGAUACGGUGAUACGUUCCCGGGCCUUGUACACACCGCCCGUCAAGCCAUGGAAGUUGGGGGUACCUGAAGUCG
This 1175-nucleotide ribosomal RNA is filed under the name uncultured organism. Its description in RNAcentral is "bacterial SSU rRNA". It matches the Rfam family "Bacterial small subunit ribosomal RNA", at positions 240 to 1429 of the family's 1533-position model. The record is from RNAcentral.